Molecule: ribosomal RNA, 452 nt
Filed under: uncultured bacterium
Lineage: Bacteria
Description: bacterial SSU rRNA
Rfam family: Bacterial small subunit ribosomal RNA
Source: RNAcentral
UACCAGACUCCUACGGGAGGCAGCAGUGGGGAAUAUUGGGCAAUGGGCGCAAGCCUGACCCAGCAACGCCGCGUGAAGGAAGAAGGCUUUCGGGUUGUAAACUUCUUUUCUCAGGGACGAAGCAAGUGACGGUACCUGAGGAAUAAGCCACGGCUAACUACGUGCCAGCAGCCGCGGUAAUACGUAGGUGGCAAGCGUUAUCCGGAUUUACUGGGUGUAAAGGGCGUGUAGGCGGGAAAGCAAGUCAGAUGUGAAAACCAUGGGGUCGACCUGUGGCCUGCAUUUGAAACUGUUUUUCUUGAGGACCGGAGAAGUCAUCGGAAUUCCUUGUGGAGCGGUGGAAUGCGUAGAUAUAAGGAAGAACACCAGUGGCGGAGGCGGAUGACUGGACGUCAACUGACGGUGAGGCGCGAAAGCGUGGGGAGCAAACAGGAUUAGAUACCCCAGUACUA